RNAcentral lists this microRNA (24 nucleotides) under Carica papaya (papaya). RNAcentral's name for it is "cpa-miR8145". The record is from miRBase by way of RNAcentral. Lineage: Eukaryota; Viridiplantae; Streptophyta; Magnoliopsida; Brassicales; Caricaceae.
AUAAACAGAUAGAAUGACAGCCUU